This 21897-nucleotide long non-coding RNA is filed under the name Citrus maxima (pomelo). RNAcentral describes it as "long non-coding RNA (CMAX_LNC002364)". Lineage: Eukaryota; Viridiplantae; Streptophyta; Magnoliopsida; Sapindales; Rutaceae. The record is from RNAcentral.
AGUAAAUAUAUAUUAGAGUUUAUUUUUUUAUUCGAAGGGAAAAUCUUUAAAUAACAAUAAAAGUAUAAAAUAUUUAUUAGUACAGACCAAUACGAUACACCGUAUUUCCUUCAAACACAAACCAAGGAACUGAAAAUAUUAUUAAUAGAAGUAUAGAACUAGUCGUCAAAAUGGAACGUGGUCUCCUAGCACAGAAGCAAUUUGAUCUUUAAUUAGGUAAGAAUGCGUAUAGCCGUCGUCCUCUUUGUAAAUAAAAUCAAUUGCACGAGCAAGAUUAAGAAUCGUCCCGAGCAGUGGUCGGGCAACGACGGUUGGCUUCAUCAUCAACUCCUCGUUAAUAUCUUUCCAUGCAUUUGCAACUUCUUCUUCAAACAUUUUAAUUGCCUCUUCCUUAGAGACACCAUGCUGCUUCGUGUAACAUUCAAUAGCUGACGCAACAUGUCCUCUCUUCUGCUCAAACUACAUAUAUAAUAACAUAUGGUUUAGUAUCGGUGCCUGUUUAGAUUGGUAUAUAUUAGGAGAUUUAUAAGUAAUUAUAGUAAUUAUUCGAAAAAUUAAAAGUUAAUUUUGAUGUAUAUACACACACACCCCACUUUUCAGUGCGCAGAUUUUUAAAAAAUAUAAUAACAUAGAUUGGAGGGUUUUGAUAAAUUUUCUAUAAAAGUGCGGGGUUAUGUAUUUUUUAUUUUGCAUACCUCAUGACCUUGUAUGUCAUCCAUGAGUCUGCAGAUAACUGAUGCUGCUUUUACAACCUUAGGGUUAUUGGAGAUCCAUUCAAAAACCUCUUUAGUUGCAAAAUCACCCAUGCCAAGGAAGGAAGUUGUUAUGACCAAUGUGUAAGCACAACUUGUUAGUGCAAUAGGCAUAUACUCCUCAAUUGUUGGAACGUAACCUUCACUGAACCAUUUGGCUUGAACAAAGUAUGCUCCAAUUACUUUUUGAUUCUGAGAAGCAAAACGCAGCUAAACCUUAGCCGUUAUAAAAACAAUAAUAAGAAAUAAGUUUUUAAAUUUUAAUAUACCUGUUGUGAUAUAUUAAUUUGAUCUAAUUAAUUUCUAAGAGCCAAUAAUUCAGUAAGAUUUAUGGUUGACGAGUAAGAUUUCUCAUCUCCAUCCGAACAAUACAAUAAAAAAGAAAACAGCCUCCAUCAUCGAACACACUUUUGAUAAGUUUUAUGUAACCUAAAAAAUAGCUCCAAGGGUUUAAGCUAAUUAUCCAAUUAAUUCUUACAUUUGUAAUAAUUCAGGGAGAGGUGUGAAAAUUUUAGCAAAAUUUCAGGGGGGGUGAAUGAAAUAUGUCUAAAAUUUUGUGAAACUUAAAUUUACCCAUAGAUAUUUGAUGUAAUUUUGUGGGUGGAGUAGAUAUUCCUCCCAAAAUUGUGUACAAUACACAUAUAGGUAAUUUAAAGGAAAAAAAAAUAGGGAGGAUGAUGCAUACCGCCUCUUUUGCAUAACGUACGCAGUGUGAUCUGUUGGGAAAAUAUGCUCUUUAAAAGCAUAUGUGUUUAUUUAAUUGUAAUAAAUAAUUUUUCUGAUUAAUAAAAUAAAUGGGGUAUUUUAUUCAAAUAUCUUAAUUGCAUUAAUAUUUGUAUUAAAGUCCAUUUAAUCAUAUUAUAUGUAUUUAUGUGAUCACCAUGUGGAUUCACAGAAGACAUAAAUACAAGUUAUCUUAUGAUUAAAUAAAUUUAGUUCGCAGUUGAUAAAUAAAGUUGGGCACUUUAUUUAGGUAUAGACUGUAAUAAAUUCAUUGAAUGAUUUGUCUUAAUCAUGUAUGAAUUUAUUGAUGUAGUACGACUACAUUGAACAGGAUCACAUAUGAGAUUUAAUUAACUUUGUAAUAACUGUCAGACUUAUUAAAUCUCAUAGGCGUUGAUUUUACUGUAAUCUUAAUCUUGAGUUAAUUAUGAUUUCAUGAUUGUGAUUGUUAUUUCAUUUGAGUUACCAAUGGGCACGACACAUCCUUGUGGUCAAGAUUACCCGGUAUCUUGGUGGGAGCAAUUAUGAGUAUUGGAGUUAUGGAUUAACAAUAUAGAAUUUGUACAACACAUCUCUUGAUAGGUUUUCGGUACUUGAUCAUAGAAUUCUCUGGCCAGAGUGUGUCAACAUAUUUAGUAUGUUGAAAAUGAUCAUUAGAGAAAACCAGUAAGGAUCAAGGAAUAAGAUGUUAUUAAAUUGAUUGGACAGUUGAGAUAUCAAUUUAAUUAACGAUGUGGUACAAAGGAUUGUGCAGUAAAGAAAUCAAUGUGGCUUGGGACGAAUUAUUAUUCGAGCAUACAAUUAUGGAAGUCAGUUCCAAUCUUUUAGUGGAGUAGAUUUGGAAUUAAAUAAUUGGGCUAGUUUAAUUACAGGCCUAAUUAUUGUAGCCACUAUUGUAUGUUCCCAAAUGAUCCCCGGGUUAGCUCAUUUAAUUGACUGCACCACUACUGGACUAAUAAGUAAGAUAACUAGCUAUUUGGGUCAAAAGCCUAAAUAUAUUAUUUAGUGGGAGGCUCCAUUUAAUUAGCUUUUGUAUAAGGGGCCUUAUGUUAUUUUACAAGGUGGGUCCCCUAUUGAAAAAGCAAAUAAACGUGAGUUUUGUUUUUUGAUUAUUUGGAGCCUAGGGUUUUCACUAAAGGGAGAUAUAUAAGGCUUAUUUUCUCUAAAGAAAAAAGAGAGAGACCACUUUAUACAAAUCGGAGAAUAAGAUUUUUCUCUCUAUUGUUGAGAGAAAAAUUUUCUCGUGCUAGUUGCUUUGGUAGUGAGAACGGCGCCCACACGUCAAGUGCAGAUCGAACCUGAGUCAUAACCUGGAAGAUCAUUGGUGACAGUUCGUGAUCUAACAAGCGUGGUGGUGACGGAUCGUGAUCUAACAGGAGUGGUGGUGGCGGAUCAUGAUCUAGGAGCCUAAAUCACUUCAGCGGAAAAAGCCAACUCGGAUUUUCAAGGUACGAUUUCUAGAAUACAAAUUUUUAUAUAUUAUAUGAGAGCGAUCUUCAAAAGGUUUUAUAGAAAUUUAAAAACCUGAUUUUUUCCCCAACAAUUGGUAUCAGAGCCAUCUCAUAUUAAUAUAUAAGAAUUUCGUAUGAAAUCAUUCUUGAAAUUUAUGUAUUAGAGUGGCACAAUUUAUUCAGAUAUAUAUUAUUUGUUUAAUAUAUGAAUAAAGCAUGUUAUGGUUUGUCUUAAUUCAUGGUUAGAUUUUCUACUGUAUUUUUCGUUUGGAUCUGUAACAAGAGGGGUGGUUUUUACUCACCAUGUUUCCCUCUUGAUUUAAUUUACUGAUAUAGAAUUUUGUAAGCCAAAAUUGGCCUAAGAAAUUUGUAAAUUAAUUACUGGAAAAUUGCGGAAACUUGCUGGAAACUGCGGCAACGAACCAGAGUAGCAGCACACGGCCAGCAGCACUCGCUGCCAGCAGCGCGCGCUGCGAGCGCAGCCCAGCAGCACACGCUGCCAGGCGCUGCACACACAGCAGCUGCAGCGCGCGAGCAGCAGCUGCAGCGCCCAAGCAGCAGUGCGAACGUGGGCUGGAGGCGCGCGAGUGAAGGCAGCUGGCGGAGCGUUCUGGUUGGCGUCUUUCCGGCGUCGAUGACGGCUGUCCGGUGUGGAAACAGUAAACAACGGCUGGGUUUUUGUGCUGGUGGCGGCUGGGGAAGAAGAGGAAAAGAAAAAUGUGAUUUUAGGGUUCCAUGGUUUUUAUCGUGGAGGUCCCUAUAGCUUCAUAUUUUUCAGUUGGGCAGAAACGUUUUUAAUUUUUUGCAUUUAAGUCCAAAAACCGUUUUGGGCUUAAAAAAUCCUAGUUUUAGGCCCAAUUUCAAUUGGGCUUAAUGGAUUAAAAAAUGCAUAGACAAAAUUAAAUACAUUAAAUUUAUUUUUGGUCCAAAAGUUUUAUUUUAAUAAAAUAAAAAAUUAAUUAUUUAUUUAUUUCUUUUCAAAAUUAAAAUUGGACCAAUUAUAAAUUUAAAAGCCCAAUUUCCCCUAGUCCAUUAACAAAGACAAGAUUAUGGAAGAUGGACAUUGACAAGAAGCCCAAUGAAGAUUAGGCUUAGGGUUAAUGUAUUUUUCAUUAUUAGGAAAGCCAUGAAUUAAGAUUAUUUAAUUGUUUUUCUAUAUGUUAUGUUUUGGAUGAUAACAUGCCAUGAUAACAUGUCAUAUAGAAUAGGUAGUGCCACUCUAUACAUAAUGAUACAUGUCAUUCAUUAAUAAUGAAUUUCAUUAUAUUGUUUGAAAUUUGCGUGUGCUUAAUAAUAUUUGAUAUCAUCUAGAUAAUAUUAUAGGAAGCAUGCAAUUAACAAUAUGUAUGUUUUAAAAAGGAAAAACCAAUUUUAAAAUAUUGAGUGGGAGAGGGAAAAAUUCAAGAUAAUUUUCCCACGGGCUCCAUUGUUAGUUCAAUAAUAAAAUUAUAUAUAUACAUCGACUUCAUGAUACGGUGAUGCUCCCUUCGGAGGGUAUAUAUAUUAGAUAUUUUAUUUGAUGAACUUCUUCAAAGAUAAAAUUGAAAUAUUUUUCAAUCGAUUGUUCACCCCAACGGUGACUAUUGAUAUGAAAAAUACGUAGAUUGAAACAAUGGUUAUACACUCAACUAAAAUUUGUUAUUAACCUUCCCAACGAAGCUCUGUUAACAAAUUUAGGCCCAAAAAGAUAACGAUAAUUAUUUAUCAUGUCUCUACAUGAAAGUAAAUAAUCCAAUGGGUAAUUGGGUCUAGUAAGUAUAGACAUGACUUCCCCACCGGAUAGCUUGUCAAAGCGGUACUAGAUUAUCGUUACAAUAAAUUAAAAUGCAUUUAUGGUUUUUUGCAUUUUUUUCAUUUAUUGUGAAUAUUGUUUCAAAGUAUUUAUGCAUGUCUAUUUUUUUUCAGAAAAUGUCUUCCAUCAACCCAUUAUUAUUUAUCCUUGUUAAAAAUGAACUCAUUGGCGAAAAUUAUUUAGAUUGGAAACGCAAUCUAUUUAAUAUUCUCACUGCUAAGGGAAGCAAAUAUGUUUUGACUCAGCCUUGCCCUCCUGAACCAUCGUUAUACGAUUAUAGAAAUCAGAGGGAGCCUUAUGAGAAAUGGUGCGAAGCUAACAAAAUGGCUAAGCGCUAUAUAUUGGCUUCGAUUUCUGUGGAACUGCAUAAGAAACAUCGGAGCAUGGAAACAGCCACUGAAAUAAUGGCUAGUCUUCAUCAGAUGUUUGGGCAAAAUACCCAUUUUGCCAGAGAAGCAGCAUUGAAACGUAUUACGGAUACUAAGAUGGAAGAGGGCACAAAAGUUCGUGAUCAUGUCCUCAAAAUGAUGGACUAUUUGAAUAAAGUAGAGAUUCAUGGUGUUCAAAUCAAUGAUAAAUCAAAGAUUAACAUGGUGAUUGAAUCUUUACCUGAUACAUUCAAAGAGUUUAAGGUCAGUUAUAUCUUAAACAAUAAAGAUAUGACCUUAAUUGAAUUAAUGCACGAACUACAUGCUAUAGAAGAAUUUUAUCAUAGCAGAAAACUUCCUGAAAAAGGAUUCUCUUCAAGGCUUAAGUCGAAAGACAAGAAUGAGCAAGCAAGAGUUGGGAUCGGCAAACUGUCCACUAAAAGAAGUGGCAAGCCAAUAGGCAAGUGUUACAAAUGUGGACAGAAGGGUCACUGGAAGAAAGAUUGUCCUAAGAUUAUUAAAAUCAGGUAUAGGAAAUCUUUAAGCUUCCUAAUUAGUUCAGAUUUCUAUUGAAUCAUACAAUAAUGAAUUCUGAGAUAACUAAUCUUAUUUGUAAUUCAUUUAUUUGGUUUUCAGGAAACCAAGAGAUUAAGUGAAGAAAGCUUCAAACAGCAAUUGAGGACAUGCUAGUUUAUAUCAAUUGAAAGACUAGAUCAAUUUUACAAGACUUUAGUUUUGAUAUUUGUCUUUAUUUUUCCAAAUAUUAGAGGAAUUUAAUUUCGGUGGCUUGUUUUAAUAAACAGGAGUACACUGUUAUUUUUGGAUCCUCUGUUUAUUACUUAUUUUGGUUAUUUAUAAAGACAAUUUAUAUCAUAAAAGUACAUUGAUCUAUUCAAAGUAAGAUAUAAUGAUAAAAAGUAUAUGCAUUUAUCUAAGAAAAGAAAUGUUUCUUCUAACCAAAAAUCACCUCUGAUAUUUAUGCUUAAGUCAUAUAAACUAUAAUAAGAUUUUAAGAAAAUGAUUAAUGAUAGACUUGUUGGCCUAUUAGAUUAAUCAUUGUAACUCUAUAAAUCUUAUUUAGAAAAGUAAUAUGACAAGGAUGCUCUUUAUGAGCUAAAAGCAUAACAUUGUAUUUGAUGAUUUAGCGCAUACAAAUGUAUACGGACUAAUCAGUUUACAUGUUAUAAGAGGUUAUGAGUAUUCUAUCAAUCUAGUUGAUGAAUAUUCAUUUUAUGUUUGUCUAAAUGAGUCAUGAUUCCAUUGCUUUUGAAAUUCAAAAGAGUACGUGAAUAAGACAGAAGCAAUUAGACAGGAACAUAAAAGAAUUUCGAUAUGAUCGAAACAAAGAAUAUCUCUAUGGAGAAUUCAAGCACUAUUUGGUUGUCAAUGAACACUAUGAUACAAUAGUGUAAUUAAAUGGAGAAACAAGAUUCUUUUGGAUAAGACAAGAUAUAUACUAAGUGGUUUAUCAUUUACCUUUUUGAUUCCAGAUACUAGUAUUUGAAACUACAAAGUUUAUUGAACUUAGUUUCAUCUAUCUCGGUGUCCACUACUCCAAGAAAUUAUGAAAAAGUCACAAACAUGGUUUGAGACACAUUCGUAUUUGGAGUUUACUAGUAUUUCUACUAGAAUCAGAGAUAGAGAAGAUGGAUUCGUGUUCAAAAGCUUGCAUGUUUUAGGUAUCUUAAAGGAAUAAGGGAAAGUCUGAAUUAUAGUCCUCAAGAUAGGAAUGUAUUUAUAGAAAUAUUUUUUACUUUCUUUGAGGAAGACUAUAUAAUGACUUAUAACCUAAGAGUAAGGUAAAACUAGAGAAAUAAAAGAGAUCAGGUUGAUGCUCAGCUUUCAACACCUGUUAUAGAACAGGAAGAACAGCAACAACCAGCUGAUCAGCACAGGAUUAUCCUUGAACAACCAUCACUUUUAGAACCUCGUCGUAGUGGGAGGGUAACUAGGUUACCUGCAAGAUACAUGUUUUUGGGAGAAACCUAUAAGGCUAUCUCAGAUGAACAUGUACAAGAUCCCACUAGUUACAACGAAGCUCUAAUAGAUAGAGAUGAUGAAUUUUGAAAAAGGCCAUGAAUCAAGAAAUGGAAUCUAUGUAUUCCAAUAAAGUCUGGGAACUUGUAGAGGCACCAAAUGGGGUAAAACCUAUAGGGUGCAAGUGGAUCUACAAGAGAAAAAGAGGAGUAGACGGAAGGGUGGAAACAUUUAAAGCAAGAUUAGUAGCCGAAGGGUUUACUCAGAAAGAAGGAAUCAAUUAUGAGGAAACCUUUUCUCCGGUUGCUAUGCUUAAAUCCAUCAGGAUUCUGCUCUCCAUUGCUGCAGUGCUAGAUUAUGAAAUUUGGCAAAUGGAUGUCAAGACUGCCUUUCUUAACAUGCAUCUUGAAGAAAACAUCUACAUACAGCAACAAGAUGGAUUUAUACAAAAAAGGCCAAGAACACAUGGUAUGUAAGUUGCAGAGAUCUAUUUAUGGAUUGAAGCAAGCAUCCCAGUCAUGGAACAUCAGAUUUGAUCAAGCGAUUAAAUCACUUGGAUUCAUUCAGAACAUUGAUGAACCAUGUGUGUACAAGAAAAUUCAGGGAAAAUUUGUAGCCUUCCUAGUUCUUUGUGUAGACAAUAUUCUCCUGAUUGGAAACGAUAUAGGAGUAUUGACUAUAAUAAAGAUUUGGUUAGCAAAACAAUUUGAUAUGAAAGACCUGGGAGAGACAAGUUAUAUUCUUGGUAUCAAGUUACUAUGAGACCGGAAGAAUAAAACUUUAGCCUUGUCUCAAGCGGUCUAUAUCGAUAAGAUAUUGGCUAGAUUUAGUAUGGAAAAUUCCAAGACUGGUUUAUUACCAUUCAGACAUGGAAUUACAUUCUCUAAGGAUCAAUCACCUAAAACAUCUGAAGAGAUAGAGAGAAUGAGACGAGUUCCCUAUGCAGAAGCUGUGGGAAGUCUCAUGAAUGCCAUGCUUUGCACUAGGCCAGACAUCUGUUUUGCGGUAGGGAUGGUUAGUAGAUAUCAAUCUAAUCCUGGACCUGAACACUGGACUGCGGUCAAGCAUAUAAUGAAGUAUCUGAAAAGAACUUAAAAUUAUAUGCUUGUGUAUUCUGGUGAUGAACUUAUUCUAGUGGGUUAUACUAAUUCUGAUUUUUUGUCAGAUAAGGAUUUUAGAAAAUCAACUUCCGGCUAUGUGUUUACAUUGGGAAGUGGAGCUACUAGUUGGAUGAGUGUGAAACAAUCUUGUAUCACAGACUCAACAACUAAAGCUGAAUAUGUGGCUACAUCUGAAGCUGCAAAAGAAGCUAUAUGGCUCUGCAAGUUCCUACGAAAUCUUGAGGUGGUACCUGUUGUAACUGCACCCCUUAAACUAUUUUAUGAUAAUGGUGGUGCGGUAGCUCAAUCUAAGGAACCAAGGAACCACAAGAAACAAAACAUAUUGAAAGGAAGUAUCAUCUUAUAAGGGAAUAGUGUAGAAAGGUUAUAUGACAGUACCCCAAAUGGCAUUAGAUGCUAAAUGGCAGAUCUUAUUACAAUGGCCAUUAGUGGGAAACCUUUAUAACCUGCACUUAGAGCCCUAGAGCAUGUGCAAUAUGCCAGAUAUGCUUUGAGAGCUAGUGGGAGAUUGUUGGGAAAAUAUGCUCUUUAAAAGCAUAUGUGUUUAUUUAAUUGUAAUAAACAAUUUUUCUGAUUAAUAAAAUAAAUGAGGUAUUUUAUUCAAAUAUCUUAAUUGCAUUAAUAUUUGUAUUAAAGUCCAUUUAAUCAUAUUAUAUGUAUUUAUGUGAUCACCAUGUGGAUUCACAGAAGACAUAAAUACAAGUUAUCUUAUGAUUAAAUAAAUUUAGUUCGCAGUUGAUAAAUAAAGUUGGGCACUUUAUUUAGGUAUAGACUGUAAUAAAUUCAUUGAAUGAUUUGUCUUAAUCAUGUAUGAAUUUAUUGAUGUAGUACGACUACAUUGAACAGGAUCACAUAUGAGAUUUAAUUAACUUUGUAAUAACUGUCAGACUUAUUAAAUCUCAUAGGCGUUGAUUUUACUGUAAUCUUAAUCUUGAGUUAAUUAUGAUUUCAUGAUUGUGAUUGUUAUUUCAUUUGAGUUACCAAUGGGCACGACACAUCCUUGUGGUCAAGAUUACCCGGUAUCUUGGUGGGAGCAAUUAUGAGUAUUGGAGUUAUGGAUUAACAAUAUAGAAUUUGUACAACACAUCUCUUGAUAGGUUUUCGGUACUUGAUCAUAGAAUUCUCUGGCCAGAGUGUGUCAACAUAUUUAGUAUGUUGAAAAUGAUCAUUAGAGAAAACCAGUAAGGAUCAAGGAAUAAGAUGUUAUUAAAUUGAUUGGACAGUUGAGAUAUCAAUUUAAUUAACGAUGUGGUACAAAGGAUUGUGCAGUAAAGAAAUCAAUGUGGCUUGGGACGAAUUAUUAUUCGAGCAUACAAUUAUGGAAGUCAGUUCCAAUCUUUUAGUGGAGUAGAUUUGGAAUUAAAUAAUUGGGCUAGUUUAAUUACAGGCCUAAUUAUUGUAGCCACUAUUGUAUGUUCCCAAAUGAUCCCCGGGUUAGCUCAUUUAAUUGACUGCACCACUACUGGACUAAUAAGUAAGAUAACUAGCUAUUUGGGUCAAAAGCCUAAAUAUAUUAUUUAGUGGGAGGCUCCAUUUAAUUAGCUUUUGUAUAAGGGGCCUUAUGUUAUUUUACAAGGUGGGUCCCCUAUUGAAAAAGCAAAUAAACGUGAGUUUUGUUUUUUGAUUAUUUGGAGCCUAGGGUUUUCACUAAAGGGAGAUAUAUAAGGCUUAUUUUCUCUAAAGAAAAAAGAGAGAGGCCACUUUAUACAAAUCGGAGAAUAAGAUUUUUCUCUCUAUUGUUGAGAGAAAAAUUUUCUCGUGCUAGUUGCUUUGGUAGUGAGAACGGCGCCCACACGUCAAGUGCAGAUCGAACCUGAGUCAUAACCUAGAAGAUCAUUGGUGACAGUUCGUGAUCUAACAAGCGUGGUGGUGACGGAUCGUGAUCUAACAGGAGUGGUGGUGGCGGAUCGUGAUCUAGGAGCCUAAAUCACUUCAGCGGAAAAAGCCAACUCGGAUUUUCAAGGUACGAUUUCUAGAAUACAAAUUCUUAUAUAUUAUAUGAGAGCGAUCUUCAAAAGGUUUUAUAGAAAUUUAAAAACCUGAUUUUUUCCCCAACAUGAUCUUCCUUGCUUGGCCAUAUCUUCCUCAAUUUCAUUAAAAGCAUCUAAGAGUGUCCUGUAAAUCAAUUUCAUGUAUUCUGGAAGCGUAUCUACGGCCUCAAUAUUCCAUCUGGAAAUCAAUGUAAUAACCAUUUUAUAAUAAUAGCAACAAAAAUUUGAUUCUGAAAUUCAAAAUUAAUUAGCUAUACGCAGGGCACUAACCUUUGAACUGCUUCAGUAAAGAGGCUGAGUUCUUCAAGUGUACCAUAAGCAUCAUAAGUAUCAUCUAUGAUGGAUAAUAUGUAAUUUAAUUGGGUCAUUAUCUUUCUCCCAAAUGCAUAUUGAGGCUCGAAGUAUGUCCCUAAAUCCCAAAAAUAUAACUCCACUAAUCUGUCUCUUGCAUAAGGUAGUUUUGUAGUGAAGUCUAAAUCUUUCCACCACCUGAAAUAAGAAUAUAUACAUGUGUCACGAUUCUAUUGAUUGGAUGUACGACGGAGGUAUAAAAGAAUUUCUCCCUAUCGAAAGAACUUACUUUGUUAAUUCAUUGAGUUCCUCCUUGUGUAGCUCUAGCAAUAUGUUAAAAUCUAACUUUGCAAAAUUCAGCAGAGUUAUAUUGUGUAAAUGAUCACUUGUUGAAUUGAUCAUGGACAUAAAAUACCUCGCCUCUAAUCUUGGUAGGGUUUUACGAAGAGGACGGUAUAAAGCAUGAUUUAUCUGUUCCGCAAGCUUAGGGUUACAUGAUCCUGAGCUACCAAUGACUUCAGGUGAGUGGUAGUGAAAGCAAUGGCUUCAUCUAAUAUAUCUUCUCCGCGAAUUGCCAUGUAUGCUGCCUCGUACAAACUUAACAUCCCUUGAACAUCGUUUAUCAACGAUGACUUGAAUCUACCCUCAUCAUCUUUGAACUUCUCAAACACAUCUGAUUAUCACAUUCAAAAAGUAAAUUACUGAAGGCUUACAUGAUUAAUAAUUAGUCAAUGAUUUUGUAAUUUCAAUAAUGCUAGAGCCACAAAUUCUUCAUACAUUACAAACUCAUCAAGUCGCAUCAUAAUUUUGGUUAGAUAAAAAUAUCAUUACAAACUCAUGAAGUCGCACCAUAAUUUUGGUUAGAUAAAAAUACCACAUGACUUAUUUUCAUUAUUAUUUUUAUUAAUCAAUCAAUACUCUUAUAUGAAAAAAAAAAAAAAGUAGGGUGAGGGUAAAAUCUAAAUUGAUAUUUUAGCCCCGGCCUAGCUUACAAUAUUCAAACUCAAGUGAUUGGCUAAAGAAAACUACUUGAAAAUCAGUCGUCCAAAUCUCUGGGGACAAAUACAAUAAAAAGUGUUUGUGGCUGUCGCAUUACUCACAAUUGUAAUAGCUUGAGUGAGAUUACAUACCACAUGAAAUCUUGAUUCCUUGCUGCCUAAGCAAUCGAAAAUGAAGAGAAACGGUGUGAAGAUCAGGGCUAUUACUGUCAAUAUAGUUUGGACAUAACUUUUGUAUUGCAUCUUCUAUUUCUUUCUCAAAGUGAUAAGCCACCCCCAGGCGUUGUACUUCAUCAAUCAAGCGUAACUUCUGAACAGGCUUAUCUUCAGCAUCUGUUAUCAUUCUCCUUACCUCUUCUUUCAGUGCCUCGUGUCGUUCUUGAGUUGCAGUAUGAUCAACUGUCUGAAGCACAAAAAAUAAUUUGUUAAAUUCAUACAAUAUCUGAUGAAUGGUCAAUUUAAAAAAAAAAAAAGCUGCUUUAAAACCAUUUGGUCAAACUCCUGAAGAUACGGUACAUGCUCACUUAACAAAUCGAGUCAUAUAUGGGAUGUUUGGGUUCAUCUUUACCUUGAAAUCAGAAGCACCUUUGAGGAAAUGGUUUCUCCAUAAACUAGGAUGGAAAUCUGCAGUAGGACGAAAUGUUUCUCCAGACGACAUUUUUGUGUCAGACAAACGGGUGCUGCAGAAUUUUGAUAUUUCUGUGGAAUUAUAAUUUGUAUUUCUACUACUACUGCACCCUUUAAUAUAUACUAAUUCGAUUAUAUCAAGACGGACGCAUGCAACUUGUCUUGAAAGCCUUUUAAUUUAAUUUAUUAUCAAUUCCGAUUCAUUUAAACGCUUGGAUGCAUGGAAACCACGUGAUGGGUCAAUUUUUGACUUUCUGUUAGAUUCUCAAAAUUGUGUCAAUUUUUUUUUCUUUUUCUUUUUGGCCUAUUUAUAACUUAUGGUUUUAAUGGAAAGAUUUUAGUGCAUAUCUGUAUCAUAUUGACAAGUGACAACAACUAGUGUAUUUACUGGGAUAAUUAUUUUUCAGGUAACUCGUUCUCUGUUUAAUCGCAACAAAAUGGCUUGUCUCUAAUUAGAGUUUGAUUAUAUGUUUAAGCUCUUGGUUCUAUUUAGAGUUAGGACUCCAGAAAGUGUUCGUAGAGUUUACACGUACAAGAGAAAUUUUGUUGCUUGCAAUAUUUGGCAUGUAAGGCGGAUGAAAAAUAGGCUUGGGCAUAUGUAUUACAUUGUUUCGGAGUUAGUGCUGAGAUUUUGGCUAACUUUUUAGAAAUAUAUAAUUAGUAGUUAUUUGGAUAAAAAUAUAAAACUAAUUAAAUUUUAACUAUGUAUACGUUUAGGUAUGGAAAAAUACUAUAAAAAGUUUAGCACAGUUAAACUCAGUAUUGGAUCCAAAUCUGUAAUACAUGGGAACUAUUGAACCUAUCAAGAAGAGCUGACUUGUUAGAAAGAAGAUAUCUUGAUAAAGUUGGCAUGUCUCUUGUAAAGAGAAAAAAAAAAAUUAUUAGAAAAGAGAUGGCAUAAAACCAUUAGUAAUUUUGUUGCCUUAAAAACAAAAAUUUAAUGAAGAUCGAACGUCGUGAGCAAAAACGGAAUUCAAAAAUAAAUUUCGUGAUUAAGAAAUUUAUGAAUUAUUCACAGGAUUACAAUUUCUUGAGAAUUAAGUAGUCAAAAUAGGAGAGCUAACCGAAUUUAAUUUGAUCUAAUUUAUUUAACCAACAGUCCGUAAUUAAUUGGAUUUGAUUUGAUUUUCUUAUUUUUUUAUUCAACUCAAUCUUCCAAGGACGAAAUAAAAUUUGAUCCAAUUUUAUUCAAUUUAAAAAUAACCAAUCUAAAUAACAACAAAAUCAUAUUGUAAAUAUCGAUUCGAAUCAAAUUAAUUAAUUUAAAAGUAUAGUAUUUUCAAAAUAUUUUUUAGAUAUGAUGGUUUUGAGUUUUUAAUCUAUAAUACGUGAUGGAAUGGGGUCAGGUACAAUUUCUAGUACUUUCAUAAAAAGAUUUUAGAUACACGGGUUUUGACCUUUUAUUCUAUAAUACAUGAUGGAGAGAGAUCAGAUAUAAUUAAAAUAAUUCUAUAUUUAUUUUUUUAUUAUAUUUUAUUAUAUAAUAAUGGAGAUUGAUUUUUUUUAGUAAUUAUAGCUAUUUUAAAUUUUUUAUUCCAGAUUUUAUCUUAAAUGAUCGGUUAUUUAUUAAAUGGUUGAUAAUUUUUUUAUAAGAUUCAGGUAAAUUAAUUGUAUUAUCUUAUCAUCCAAUUGAUGUAUGUUAUAUCACUUGGAUAUUUUUUAGGAUAAAAAAUUUAGAAUGUAUGGCACUACUCUUUUUUUUUUUUUUUUGGUGAGAUUAUUUGAACCCACUAAAUUACUCUCAACACUAAUUUGCUUAAUAAAUCCAUGACUAAAGUUUAAAAAUAAAAAUUUACUUUAUAUGCUCACCUAAAUGCCCGAUUUACCCCUAUCUCUUUGUAACAUUAUUUGAAAAGCAAAAAGAAGAGAAAGGGGAAAAAACUUGACAUGGUAUCUUUUAGAUCGGAAAAGAGAGAAGCUUGAUUGUUGGAAUACAUAGAUAAUCCAAAUCCAAAUCUCAUUUCCAUCUUAAAUCGGUAAUCCAAUUUGGCUACCAUUACAACCAGUAAGUUUAUUUUUUCAAAUUAGAAUACAACAUGCACUACUAGAAAAAUGGUCUUUACUGAUACUUAGUUCGUGACACUUUAUUAAAAAGUAUCAGUAUUUACAUAUAUAUGGACCAUUUUCCGUGUUUAACAUAUAAGUAUCACAAAAUACUAAUACUAUGGUGUCUCUAAAUUAAACAUCAGAGAUUACUGACACUAAAGUAUCUGUAAAAAAUUUAAAGUAAUUCUGAUAUUGGUCCCGAUAAAACUUGAACCCAAGACCUAUAAAAAUUAAGCUUUUAAGUUUUAAACAAAAGCCAUUAUAAUUUUUUGCAAUGACACUAAGGUAUCGCUAACUGUUAAAAAAAAACAAAAACAAAAACACACGCACGCAUUCACACAUGACACCUCACCCCACACACUCACAAGACGCAAAAACAAACCCUAAGUCCUUAACAAUUAACAUUACAAUACUUUGAAAGAGAGAGAGAGAGCGCCGCUACUCUCGAUCCAGUGCUCCAACACCGGCUCAGAUCUCUCGCUUUUAUAUCACCGCGUCAAGCCUCUCCGUCAUGCCGUCAAGCCUCCAUCAAGUGUCACUGCUUCAAGCCUCCAUCAAGUGUCAUUGCGUCAAGCCUCUCUGUCACGCUGUCAAGCUUCCAUCAUGCGUCACCGCGUCAAGCCUCUCUCCGCUGUCAUAAGCCACCGAUGCGGCACCGCGCCAUUGGUAGUGUCGUUAAGGUGCACCAAAUUUAAAACCUUACCACUAAUAUAAAUAAUUAGUACAGAGCGAGUAAGGAUUGAUCCCACAGAGAUUAUACUAGUUAUAUUUAUUAUUAACUCUAAAGCAAGAUUUGAAAUAAAAUAAUGGUAGUAAUAAUAAGAGUAAUAAUAAUAUAAAUUAAUCUAACUAAAGAAAAUGCCAAUUAUAAAUAAAAAGGGGGUUUAUGAAUUUUUUAACUAAAUAGUAAGAAGUAAAGAAAUUAAAACUACGAACAAGAAUUUAAUAAAAACUCUAAUUAAAAGAAAAAGAAAUAAUAAUGAUGAAAACUUUGGUUAAAGGAUGAUUCGCCACCACCAAACAUGCACAUAAUAUAUCAAUUCUAUUAUCAAUUUAUAUUGAAACUAUCAACCGUAGACAACAAUAAGCUCUGUUAGUCUCAAUCUUUCCUUAGUGUGUUGUUAGGCAAAACAAGCUCUUCACAUAAUCUCUAACCAUUAAAUAAUUUAAAACAAGCUCUUUCAAUUUAAGAUAAUGGAAGCAUUAAAUAAAGAAAGAUAUUAUGUUGAUCUAGGCAAUAAACACACAAGCUCGGAUUAUUUAACCUAGGUUAUGUUCUUCAAUUGAAAUCACUAAUUCCAACCUGCUACUAAUGAUUAAAAUAUCAAGACAAUUACGGAUCAAGAAUUUUAAUCUAGCAAUAAAAUUUAUUCAAGUCCUAUCUAAUUGGCCACUCAAAUAAAACAAGAAUAAACCAUGAACAUUAAUUAUAGAAGAACAUAAACAAUCUCAAUUAAAUAAAUUGAAUGAUAGAAUUUAAAUUUAAUUGCAUAGCAUGUUUAGGGUUUUGAAUUCACCCUCAACCAAAUAAAAAUCUAGCCUAACAUAAUUGAAUUGGGAAUAAGAGAAUUGAUAAAACCAGUCAUGGAGAUUAAUUCAAGCGGCUGCCUUUGCUUCAAUUUUAAUUCCUUCCGGCGUCUCCCUUGUUUUUUUCCUUCUUGCAGCUGCAAUCUCAAAUUCUCUUGCUACCGAUUCUCCUCCAGUGUUGCUUCUGCUUGAUCCUAUUUAUAAUGCUUCAAUUGUGGCUUUUUUAAAUCCUUGCCUGGAAAGAAUUAAAUUCAAAGCCCAAAACCGCCACUUUCAUGCUUCAAUUAAUAAGCCAAUAAUGAUUUCCUAAAGCCAAAAGGCUUUAUUCUCUUUCCUUUCAUGUGGCCACUUUUGAUUUGCAAUCUUUGUUUUCCAAUUUUGCUUUCAUGUGAUGGCUUGGCUUGUUAAUUGGCUUGGCUUCCUUUUUGACUUUCAUUUUCUAAUUUUAGCUCCAUGUACAACAUUAAUUUUGCUUGGCCGAUACAAGCUUUAAUUAAAUUUAUUUUCUAAUUCCUUUCAAUUCUUGAUCUCUUGUGCACUUUUGUCUUUCAAUCUUCAAUCAAAUUUCUUUCCUGAAUGCUCCGAUUUAAUUUCUCUUUAAUUCUAGAAUAUACCUAAAAUAACAAAAUAAAUAAAACUAAGAUAAAAAUUAACACAAUAAAAUAUAAUUUACUAAAUUAAAAGUUAACUAAAAUAACUAGAAUAUUUAAGACCAAAACAAGAAAAAGAUAGAGAAAUUAAUAGCAAAAUAUAUGGAAAAUAUGCACUUAUCAGCCAUCACUAGCCAACCAGCCACCAAAAUUGACAGCCGUGCUAGCUACCCACCACCACAAUACCCUACCACUGCCUGCUAAUACUCCACAAAAUCUUCUCAAGACUUCGAGCCACAGUGUCCAGGUCUGCUUUUUCAAGUCUUGCUUUUUUAAGUUUUUAGUAUCAUCAAGUCUUGCUUCUUCAAGUCUUAAAGUGUAUCUUCAGUCACCAAUUAUAUUUAUGGGUAUUCACUGGUUCGUUGAGUAAUUUUUUCAAACAUAUGGGGUAUUGCGUCAUAACAGCCUUGUAUAUUUCUAUAUCUAAUAUUGAAUGAAUGAAUGAAUCUAUGUGUAGCUUACGAUCGAAAUGCAAAAUCAAGAGUAGUAACAAUUAAAGAACAAUUAAAAAUGAAAUGAAAGCAUAUUCACAAGUUGUUUAUUGAUUUACCUUUCAAUAAAUCUCUCUCUCACACUCACACACUCUGCUCUCUAACCUACCUUUUUGACUUGGCUCCCAAAAAAUAAUAAAGUAAAAUUUUGGUCCCAAGAAAGUUUGAUUUCUAAACAAAGGGGAAAAAAAAGUUAAAAGAAAGUAAGAUUUAUUUUACAAAUUUUACGGUGCUUCUCUUUUAGAACUGUAUGUAUAAAUAAUAAUAAUAAUAAUAAUAAUAAUAAUAAUAAUAAUAAUAUGAGUUUCAUAGAAAAUUUAAUUUAUUUGAUCAUGUUCAUUGAUAUGCUUUAACAAUGCUUUAUUAAUUCUAUUAAUUGCACUUCUUAACUCCUACUUAUCAUAUGAUUAACCCCUUAGUUUGGUUGGGAUGAUUGGUACUUUCUAUUUUUAACUUAUGGUGGAGCGUUUGAGUCUUGCGGUGACCUAUUAGUUUGGUUAAGUUGAUCGGCACUUUCUAUCUUUAACUUACGAUGGAGCAUUCGAGUCUGGCAGUAAAUAUAUAUUAGAGUUUAUUUUUUUAUUCGAAGGGAAAAUCUUUAAAUAACAAUAAAAAUAUAAAAUAUUUAUUAGUACAGACCAAUACGGUACACCGUAUUUCCUUCAAACACAAACCAAGGAACUGAAAAUAUUAUUAAUAGAAGUAUAGAACUAGUCGUCAAAAUGGAACGUGGUCUCCUAGCACAGAAGCAAUUUGAUCUUUAAUUAGGUAAGAAUGCGUAUAGCCGUCGUCCUCUUUGUAAAUAAAAUCAAUUGCACGAGCAAGAUUAAGAAUCGUCCCGAGCAGUGGUCGGGCAACGACGGUUGGCUUCAUCAUCAACUCCUCGUUAAUAUCUUUCCAUGCAUUUGCAACUUCUUCUUCAAACAUUUUAAUUGCCUCUUCCUUAGAGACACCAUGCUGCUUCGUGUAACAUUCAAUAGCUGACGCAACAUGUCCUCUCUUCUGCUCAAACUACAUAUAUAAUAACAUAUGGUUUAGUAUCGGUGCCUGUUUAGAUUGGUAUAUAUUAGGAGAUUUAUAAGUAAUUAUAGUAAUUAUUCAAAAAAUUAAAAGUUAAUUUUGAUGUAUACACACACACACCCCACUUUUCAGUGCGCAGAUUUUUUAAAAAUAUAAUAACAUAGAUUGGAGGGUUUUGAUAAAUUUUCUAUAAAAGUGCGGGGUUAUGUAAGCAGUGGAAAAAACUAUAAGGGGAUGUAGUGCCAUUUUCACUUAAUUUAAUUAGUAGUUAGUAAAGUAUUUUUUAUUUUGCAUACCUCAUGACCUUGCAUGUCAUCCAAGAGUCUGCAGAUAACUGAUGCUGCUUUUACAACCUUAGGGUUAUCGGAGAUCCAUUCAAAAACCUCUUUAGUUGCAAAAUCACCCAUCCCAAGGAAGGAAUUUGUUAUGACGAAUGUGUAAGCACAACUUGUUAGUGCAAUAGGCAUAUACUCCUCAAUUGUUGGAACGUAACCUUCACUGAACCAUUUGGCUUGAACAAAGUAUGCUCCAAUUACUUUUUGAUUCUGAGAAGCAAAACGCAGCUAAACCUUAGCCGUUAUAAAAACAAUAAUAAGAAAUAAGUUUUUAAAUUUUAAUAUACCUGUUGUGAUAUAUUAAUUUGAUCUAAUUAAUUUCUAAGAGCCAAUAAUUCAGUAAGAUUUAUGGUUGACGAGUAAGAUUUCUCAUCUCCAUCCGAACAAUACAAUAAAAAAGGAAACAGCCUCCAUCAUCGAACACACUUUUGAUAAGUUUUAUGUAACCUAAAAAAUAGCUCCAAGGGUUUAAGCUAAUUAUCCAAUUAAUUCUUACAUUUGUAAUAAUUCAGGGAGAGGUGUGAAAAUUUUAGCAAAAUUUCAGGGGGGUGAAUGAAAUAUGUCUAAAAUUUUGUGAAACUUAAAUUUACCCAUAGAUAUUUGAUGUAAUUUUGUGGGUGGAGUAGAUAUUCCUCCCAAAAUUGUGUACAAUACACAUAUCGGUAAUUUAAAGGAAAAAAAAAUAGGGAGGAUGAUGCAUACCGCCUCUUUUGCAUAACGUACGCAGUGUGAUCUUCCUUGCUUGGCCAUAUCUUCCUCAAUUUCAUUAAAAGCAUCUAAGAGUGUCCUGUAAAUCAAUUUCAUGUAUUCUGGAAGCGUAUCUACGGCCUCAAUAUUCCAUCUGGAAAUCAAUUUAAUAACCAUUUUAUAAUAAUAGCAACAAAAAUUUAAUUCUGAAAUUCAAAAUUAAUUAGCUAUACGCAGGGCACUAACCUUUGAACUGCUUCAGUAAAGAGGCUGAGUUCUUCAAGUGUACCAUACGCAUCAUAAGUAUCAUCUAUGAUGGAUAAUAUGUAAUUUAAUUGGGUCAUUAUCUUUCUCCCAAAUGCAUAUUGAGGCUCGAAGUAUGUCCCUAAAUCCCAAAAAUAUAACUCCACUAAUCUGUCUCUUGCAUAAGGUAGUUUUGUAGUGAAGUCUAAUUCUUUCCACCACCUGAAAUAAGAAUAUAUACAUGUGUCACGAUUCUAUUGAUUGGAUAUACGACGGAGGUAUAAAAGAAUUUCUCCCUAUCGAAAGAACUUACUUUGUUAAUUCAUUGAGUUCCUCCUUGUGCAGCUCUAGCAAUAUGUUAAAAUCUAACUUUGCAAAAUUCAGCAGAGUUUUAUUGUAUAAAUGAUCACUUGUUGAAUUGAUCAUGGACAUAAAAUACCUCGCCUCUAAUCUUGGUAGGGUUUUACGAAGAGGACGGUAUAAAGCAUGAUUUAUCUGUUCCGCAAGCUUAGGGGUUACAUGAUCCUGAGCUACCAAUGACUUCAGGUGAGUGGUAGUGAAAGCAAUGGCUUCAUCUAAUAUAUGUUCUCCGCGAACUGCCAUGUAUGCUGCCUCGUACAAACUUAACAUCCCUUGAACAUCGUUUAUCAACGAUGACUUGAAUCUACCCUCAUCAUCUUUGAACUUCUCAAACACAUCUGAUUAUCACAUUCAAAAAGUAAAUUACUGAAGGCUUACAUGAUUAAUAAUUAGUCAAUGAUUUUGUAAUUGCAAUAAUGUUAGAGCCACAAAUUCUUCAUACAUUACAAACUCAUCAAGUCGCAUCAUAAUUUUGGUUAGAUAAAAAUACCAUUACAAACUCAUGAAGUCGCAUCAUAAUUUUGGUUAGAUAAAAAUACCACAUGACUUAUUUUCAUUAUUAUUUUUAUUAAUCAAUCAAUACUCUUAUAUGAAAAUAAAAAAGUAGGGUGAGGGUAAAAUCUAAAUUGAUAUUUUAGCCCCGGCCUAGCUUACAAUAUUUUAGCCCCGGCUUAGCUUACAAUAUUCAAACUCAAGUGGUUAGCUAAAGAAAACUACUUGAAAAUCAGUCGUCCAAAUCUCUAGAGACAAAUACAAUAAAAAGUGUUUGUGACUGUCGCAUUACUCACAAUUGUAAUAGCUUGAGUGAGAUUACAUACCACAUGAAAUCUUGAUUCCUUGCUGCCUAAGCAAUCGAAAAUGAAGAGAAACGGUGUGAAGAUCAGGGCUAUUACUGUGAAUAUAGUUUGGACAUAAUUUUUGUAUUGCAUCUUCUAUUUCUUUCUCAAAGUGAUAAGCCACCCCCAGGCGUUGUACUUCAUCAAUCAAGCGUAACUUCUGAACAGGCUUAUCUUCAGCAUCUGUUAUCAUUCUCCUUACCUCUUCUUUCAGUGCCUCGUGUCGUUCUUGAGUUGCAGUAUGAUCAACUGUCUGAAGCACAAAAAAUAAUUUGUUAAAUUCAUACAAUAUCUGAUGAAUGGUCAAUUUAAAAAAAAAAAAAAAGCUGCUUUAAAACCAUUUGGUCAAACUCCUGAAGAUACGGUACAUGCUCACUUAACAAAUCGAGUCAUAUAUGGGAUGUUUGGGUUCAUCUUUACCUUGAAAUCAGAAGCACCUUUGAGGAAAUGGUUUCUCCAUAAACUAGGAUGGAAAUCUGCAGUAGGACGAAAUGUUUCUCCAGACGACAUUUUUGUGUCAGACAAACGGGUGCUGCAGAAUUUUGAUAUUUCUGUGGAAUUAUAAUUUGUAUUUCUACUACUACUGCACCCUUUAAUAUAUACUAAUUCGAUUAUAUCAAGACGACGCAUGCAACUUGUCUUGAAAGCCUUUUAAUUUAAUGAGAAAUUUACAACCGUCCACCUGUUUGUUUUGUCUUUUUAAAAAAUACACAAACACUUUUUUUUUUCAGCGCGCCACGUGAAGUUUGCUUUUUGUUGCAUUCGUCCAUUUUCGUCUAAUUUCUGUUAGCGAAUUUAACGGAAUGACCUUUUUACCCCUCAAAAUUACAAUUUAACCUAAAAUAAAUAGAAAUUGGAGAUAAAUUGGAUGGAUUUAAUUUUUUUCAAAGGUGGAUGCUAGAAAUUAGAGGAAAAUAAUGUUUGUUACUAAAUUUAGAAACUUUGUAUUUAUUUUUUUGGAGGAAAAUAGUGUUUGUUGCUUACUAGAUUUAGAAAAUUUGUAUUUAUUUUUUCUCUUUCAAAAAAAUAAAUACAAAUUUUUUAAAUUUAGCAAGCAACAAACACUAUUUUCCUCCAAUUUCUAGCAUCCACCUUUGAAAAAAAUUAAAUCCAUCCAAUUUAUCUUCAAUUUCUAUUUAUUUUGAGUUAAAUUGUAAUUUUGAGGGGUAAAAAGGUCAUUUCGUUAACAUUCCGUUAAAUCCACGAACGGAAAUUAGACGGAAGUGGACGAAUGCAACAAAAAACAAACUUCAGGUGGCGUGCUGAAAAAAAAAUAUUUGUGUAUUUUUUAAAAAUGCAAAAUAAACAGGUGGACCAUUGUAAAUUUCUCUAAUUUAAUUUAUUAUCAAUUCCGAUUCAUUUAAACGUUUGGAUGCAUGGAAACCACGUGAUGGGUCAAUUUUUGACUUUCUGUGAGAUUCUCAAAAUUGUGUCAAUUUUUUUUUCUUUUUUUUUUGGCCUAUAUAUAACUUAUGGUUUUAAAGGAAAGAUUUUAGUGCAUAUCUGUAUCAUAUUGACAAGUGACAACAACUAGUGUAUUUACUGGGAUAAUUAUUUUUCAGGUAACUCGUUCUCUGUUUUAUCAUGUAAUAAUGGAGAAUGAUUUUUUUU